This 493-nucleotide ribosomal RNA is filed under the name uncultured bacterium. RNAcentral's name for it is "bacterial SSU rRNA". It matches the Rfam family "Bacterial small subunit ribosomal RNA", at positions 21 to 504 of the family's 1533-position model. The record is from RNAcentral.
GGCUCAGGAUGAACGCUGGCGGCGUGCCUAAUACAUGCAAGUCGAACGAAGAAGUAAGCUUGCUUACUUCUUAGUGGCGAACGGGUGAGUAAUACAUAAGCAAUCUGCCUAUAUGCCUGGGAUAACCGUUGGAAACGAUGGCUAAUACCGGAUAGGUGAUUUGAAGGCAUCUUCGAAUCAUUAAAGUUGGGAUACAACACAUAUGGAUGAGCUUAUGGCGCAUUAGCUAGUUGGUGAGGUAACGGCUCACCAAGGCGAUGAUGCGUAGCCGACCUGAGAGGGUGACCGGCCACACUGGGACUGAGACACGGCCCAGACUCCUACGGGAGGCAGCAGUAGGGAAUUUUCGGCAAUGGGGGAAACCCUGACCGAGCAACGCCGCGUGAGUGAAGAAGGCCUUCGGGUUGUAAAGCUCUGUUGUAAGGGAAGAAGAGAUCAUAGAGGGAAUGCUAUGAUUGUGACGGUACCUUACCAGAAAGCCACGGCUAACUAC